AGUCGGGAGACAGAGGUUAGUAGGGAGACAGAGGUUAGUAGGGAGGCAGAGGUUAGUAGGGAGACAGAGGUUAGUAGGGAGGCAGAGGUUAGUAGAGAGACAUAAUAGCUGGGAGACAGAGGUUGGUAGGGAGACAGAGGUUGGUAGGGAGACAGAGGUUAGUGGGGAGCCAGAGGUUAGUAGGGAGACAGAGGUUAGUAGGGAGGCAGAGGUUAGUAGGGAGGCAGAGGUUAGUAGGGAGGCAGAGGUUAGUAUGGAGACAGAGUUUGGUAGGGAGACAGAGGGUAGUGGGGAGCCAGAGGUUAGUAGGGAGACAGAGGUUAGUAGGGAGGCAGAGGUUGGUAGGGAGACAGAGGUUAGUGGGGAGCCAGAGGUUAGUAGGGAGACAGAGGUUAGUAGGGAGGCAGAGGUUAGUAGGGAGGCAGAGGUUAGUAGGGAGGCAGAGGUUAGUAGGGAGACAGAGGUUAUUAGGGAGGCAGAGGUUAGUAGAGAGACAGAG
Long non-coding RNA from Oncorhynchus tshawytscha (Chinook salmon), 499 nucleotides. NCBI's taxonomy places the organism in Eukaryota, Metazoa, Chordata, Actinopteri, Salmoniformes, Salmonidae. The record is from Ensembl.